UCUGACACUAUAAAUACAGAUCUCAGAGGAAAAAAAAAAGGAAAAACAGAGAAGAAAAAAGGGGAGAAAACAUAAGCAGGGACCCGAAAAAUCAACCCAGAAACCAGAGCAAAGAACAGAGUAAAAACCAGAGCAAAAAAAAUAUACAGAGAGAAGGAGAGAACAAGAGGGCAGCACACACAGUGACGAGAAUUAUCCUUGAAAUUGUCUUCGUCCCUGCAAACAAAGGAAAGACCCGUAUUCAUUCAAAGAACACUCACAGCAGACCGACAUCAUCUUCGUAGUUUUAAAAGCUGCUGAGAAAGCAAGAAGGAAAGCACAGACAAGUGAUCACAAAAGGAAGACAAGGGGAAACAGUAGGCGAGAAUCAUCAUCAGUGCUGCAAACAUCUUCGGUCUCCAGAAGCAGAUCAUAAAUCUCCAUCCCUGCCUGUCCAAAUAGAACGUAUCGGUAUCAAUCCGUGGCACCAUUAGGAAAGGCUAGUUUGAAUACUACCGGUGCAUGCUAGCUCUACUUGGAGAAUAAAGAAGAACAAGACUGGAAACCUGCAGCAUCGCAAAUUAGAUUUUGUUACCUUCAGGUAAAUUGGCAAGGAGGGUUCAGUUUGAAAUUUCUGCUUACGCAUUCCGGCUUCAAGAUCCUCCGCUGCAACAACCAUAGAUAUAGGACUGUGUAAACUAAUGACAGAAUCAAGAUGUUUUUGAUGCUAAAGAAGAAGAAGAAGUUGUUUUGCUUCUUGAAUGAUAAAUAACAUGGUAUGUGAUGAACAUUUUAAGCAAUUCUCAUUUUAGCCAAUAUUUCUCUAAA
This is a long non-coding RNA of Populus trichocarpa (black cottonwood), 807 nucleotides long. RefSeq lists it as uncharacterized. The record is from RefSeq and is a predicted model, not a curated record. NCBI's taxonomy places the organism in Eukaryota, Viridiplantae, Streptophyta, Magnoliopsida, Malpighiales, Salicaceae. The transcript has 2 exons.